RNAcentral lists this unclassified non-coding RNA (2994 nucleotides) under Cotesia glomerata. Its description in RNAcentral is "uncharacterized LOC123261003, transcript variant X3". Lineage: Eukaryota; Metazoa; Arthropoda; Insecta; Hymenoptera; Braconidae. The record is from RNAcentral.
AUCACCACAUAUAUAUCCAUAAAUUUAAACUUGAGCGCAUGUGCACAAAAAACCGCGAACUUCCAUCGCUAUAUUAUUAUCUAAUAGUGUUAUCGCUCGUGGAAAGUGGAAGGGAUUUUUCUGUGACACGCUUGUGGCUAACAUAUUAUAUUUUAGUAGAGCAGAGCGCACCGCGAUGUGUUGCAGUGUCGUCUGCAUUACACCAUUCGCUUGUUGUAACAUUAUAGUUGUACAGUUUAUUAUUCUCUUGCCGUUUUACUUGAAAGUUAAAGCCGCCCUGCCGCCUGGAGCUGAGGACGAAAUUAUACUUAUUGAGCAUCUUCCUGGAAGACGAGUACACCUGCAAGAUUUUUUUUGGACUGGUUUAGAAGACGCGCCACCAUGGAUAGAUCCAGAACAAACACUUACGUACUACGAAACUCGUACUGUUCAUCAUACAGCAACAGUUUACGUCCCAGGAGAGGAUGUAGGUCGAGGAAAAGACUCUGGAAGUGGAACUCGCGAUCCCGGAUGUAUCUCUUGCAUAGAACCCACUCCGACAUUGAUUGACCCUGACCAAGAAAUUGGUAUUUUUAUUGGCGAAGAUCCAGAUCCGAAAUACUGGCUUUUAACAGUACUUAAAGCUGGUGAAAACGUACCGUCAAGAGUUGAACUCAGGUUAGCUCGUUUAUACAGAGCUGCCUUUACGCGUCAACAACAGCGGCACUUGGGACUCUUAACUACGGAUCCUCGUCUUCGAAGAGCUACCAACAAAAAACUUACACCACUGGAUGAUGAUAAAAUAGUAUCAAGAGAAUUUACAAACAAUAGUAUGAAAAAUGAGUUGAAAAAUACUGUAGCAAUUGCCAGUUCAACAGUAGUACCAGAAUCAAUAGUAAAUAAUAAUCUCACUAGUUAUAUUGAGGUUGAAAAAAAAAUGAAAGAGAUUAAGAUUUUAAAUAUUUCUCAUGAAAAUAAAUCAACAGUUAUAAGUGAGAAUUUAGAUAAGAAAUUAGUAGAUAAUACAGAAUCAAAACUAACUUUAAAUAAUAAUGCAAUAGAUGUUAAACCAGCAAUAACAUCUUUAAAAAAUGAAACAUCAGAGUUAUUGAUGGAAAAAAUAGUCAAAAAUCCACAAGCUCUACGAUCAAAUCCAGACCAUUAUUAUGUGGAUUACAAUGAAGAUAAUAUAAAGCCAAAUACUAAUGUUAAUAUAAAUUCAAAGACUGAAAUUGAAAGACAUGAACAAACUUCACUCAACGAUACAAAAUCUAACGAAACAAAAGUUGAUAUUAAUGAUGAAAAAAUAGAUAUAGUAAAUAAUCAAUCUUCAUUAUCAACAGUUAAGCAAAAUAUAUCUAGUUUAAAUAAUAAAACGGAAUAUUAUUCAUCAAGUUCAAGAUUAAAAACCGCAGGUACAGGAAUUGUUCAAGUUAAAAUGCAAAACACGAGUGUUCAACAAGAUGGAUCGACAAAGUUAAUUUAUUCUGUUCAUUUGGGAGGAAAACCUGUGCCUGCGGAAACAGCAGCCAAAGAUAUGGCGCUCCUUUCUUCUCAAGAAGUUGCUUUAGAGCUUGGUGUGCCAGUUAUUAUUCAAAGUCAACCUUACUUGAAAGAAACUCAACCGCUUGCAUUGUCGAGAAAACCAGAAGUUUGGCUGUUGAUUAGCACCGCAGGAGCGAUUGUUAUACUUUUAACUUUAAUAAUAAUUGGUAUUAUUUUAAUUGCGAGGAAAAAAAAAAUUCACAGUACUGUUUCUGCUCCUCCAACUCAAAGUAUUUUAAAAAAAGAAGCGGGGUAUACGACGUCUACACCAGGAUUAGACAACACUGGAUAUACAUCAGAGACGGAAGGAAGAACGGAUGGUACCAGUCAGAGACGGACACCAGGAAGUUUUUCUCGAACUCCAGGUACCCCUAUUACGCCUAACACUAUUGACGACGAUAUACAAGAGUUGUCGAGUGACGAGGACGAGGAAGCUAAAAAACAAAUCCAAGGCUCUUGGGAUAUUCAGGAGUAUCCAACGUUACCAUCUAAAGACAGAACUGGAAGAAAACGAAUAACAAAAAUGAAUGCUAUUGAAACACUAGACAGUCCUAAUUCGAUGGAGACAGUAGCUAAUGAUAAUGAAAGGGGUGAAUGUCUUGAAAAUGGUUAUGCUCAUCACUUAGAAGAAACAGCUUCACCGCAUUCUUAUUUAUCAAUGCCGCCUUGCAAAUUAUUUCCAAGUAUGAGAAGUGUAGAGCCGCUUUCUAGGAUAUUAGAACCAGUUGUGGUCCGACAUUUAGAUAUGGAGUUUGAAACUCCCGAGAUGACGAGACGCGAGAAUGGUUUUAUUAAUAAAAAGUUAGGAGAUGAGUCACUAGGACGAACAAGAAGUGCAGUAAAGGAUCCAGGAGUUGUUGGUCCGAUUGUUUGGGAUCUUAGAAGACAACGAGCGGUUGAAGAUUUGAAUUAUUCUUGCAGAAAAUCUGGAUACGGAAAUGGACGUAGAACGGCAACUGCCAUUGUCGGGUCCCGUAGGACGAGCCAGGAGAAGACUCCACGAGCUUCUCGAGGACUCGUUCAGUCUAUUCACCGCAAAGGACAUAAAAACCAAAGAAACAAACAUUUCAGUAUCUUCACAUUCAAACGGAAUUUCACACGAUCGUGUUACGACGUGCUUGGAGUCGAAAGAGAAAUGUACUCUCGUCAGUCCGGCCGAAAGUCCAAUGGAUCAAACGAGAAUGCGUCCACGAACUUCUCUACCGCGCGACAUUCUCGAAGAAUCAAUACCGGAAACAGGAAACACAAGCGUACCAACCCGAGGGGCAUGGGGAUCGAGACCAAUGAGUGCGGGGCCGUUUCACCGACCGAAUUUACCAGAAGUAAAUGUUACUCGCGUACUCGCGGAUACUCAUCUAGCUCCGGAUGAUCCGGCUGUUCCACUUAUUGCUGCUAUUCGAAAAGAACUAGAAAAAUUUACGCCAGAUAAAAUUUAGAUUUCCAUAUAUUAAUUAAGGGUAAUUCGAAUUA